UCAUUCUCCCAACUUUGUUCAUAUGAUUCCUCCUUAUAAAGUGAUAGCUUAUUGUUUACCAUUAGAUUGUCAAAAUUUUCCAAUGGAGCUACUGCCUCUUCAAGUCCCACUCCCUUUUCUAUUUGAAGCACGAAUGGUUGGUGUGAAAUGUUAGGUUGAUAGAUGUUUAGGGGAUAUUGGUGACUCUAACCUUGCAGUGAAGGAUCCCAAUAUCAAUGGUAAUCAAAAUCUACCAUGUCAUUCAAUAACUAAAUGACAUCCUCGUGAUCUCUUUGAAGAACGUGAUCGCUAAUAGCCCAACUCCAUAAUUUACCCAAUUUCUUAUUGCUUCUUCCAAACCAUUAUAGAAAUUGAGAAUGAGUUCAUGAUUUGAAAGAUUAUGAUUGGCGAGUUGCUCUACUAAUUCAUUAAAUCUUCUCCAAUCAUCAUAUCAUUGUGUUGUUGAAUAAAACUUAUAAAGACUUAUUGAUGAAACAUGUCAAUGAUCCUUAUAAGAAAAAUA
RNAcentral lists this unclassified non-coding RNA (502 nucleotides) under Hevea brasiliensis (rubber tree). The record is from RNAcentral. Lineage: Eukaryota; Viridiplantae; Streptophyta; Magnoliopsida; Malpighiales; Euphorbiaceae.